RNAcentral lists this long non-coding RNA (832 nucleotides) under Castor canadensis (American beaver). RNAcentral's name for it is "lncRNA (ENSCCNG00000018184.1)". The record is from RNAcentral. Lineage: Eukaryota; Metazoa; Chordata; Mammalia; Rodentia; Castoridae.
GCUAUGCUAAUUUAGUAGGAGAGAAAUAGAGAAGUUUCUAUACCACUAAUGGAUUAUUCUUUUUGACAGGACCUUGAGAAGUUAGAGAAAAGCUGAGUGAAAUGCCUGCAGUUACUUUGGUGUGGUAAUAGUAGCAUUAUUUAAAAGGAGUUUGUGGAGUGUCAGAAGGAGGAGCAUUUGGGGUUGGGAACCAGCAGGAGUCUGGAGGAUGAGAGGGACUUCCUGUCUCUGCCCAAUGUCAACCCAGAUGCCAGGUAUACAGUACAGAUGUCAGCGGAAAAGAGUCUUCCUGACAUGCAGUUGGGUUCUUUUCAGUCAGCACUCUUGUAUACAUCAAGCAAAGGUGAAAGAAGAAUACUAUCCGUACUUUGUGUUUGCCAGUAGUUUCAACUCUGAAUGAAGUCUUUCUGGAAGCUGAUGUUCAAGCAAUUUCAGGGUUAUUGGCCAAUAUGGAAAUCAUUCCAGACUGGACAAACGUGUAUCUAGAAGAACACAUUUUGCUGUGUCAAGUGCAAACCCAGCCCUUGGUUCACCUUAUGCUCACAACUCAUCCCAGUUUGUACAGAAUUGACAAUCUCUCAGAUGAGGAAAGAUGGAUUCCUUUUUUUAGUGGCUUUUUCUAGAUGUUUUCUAAGCGUAAUCAUACUCAUUCCAGUGCUGAAUUGAGAAGAGGUUUGUUUGUUAUCUAAAGCUUUAUAUUUUUAUCUUUUUGCUAGUUAUAUGUAGAGAGAUACUGGUUCAGGGAAGCUCCUGAAAAUAGUACCUUUAUUUAGUUUCCUAAGUCAAGUCUCUAGAACAGAUGUAAGAAAUAAAGAAAAUGUCAAGUUGACCA